RNAcentral lists this ribosomal RNA (324 nucleotides) under uncultured bacterium. RNAcentral's name for it is "bacterial SSU rRNA". It matches the Rfam family "Bacterial small subunit ribosomal RNA", at positions 29 to 334 of the family's 1533-position model. The record is from RNAcentral.
AUGAACGCUGGCGGCGUGCUUAACACAUGCAAGUCGAACGGAGUGCUCAUGACGGAGGAUUCGUCCAACGGAUUGAGUUACUUAGUGGCGGACGGGUGAGUAACGCGUGAGGAACCUGCCUCGGAGUGGGGAAUAACAGACCGAAAGGCCUGCUAAUACCGCAUGAUACAGUUGGGUCGCAUGACUCUGACUGUCAAAGAUUUAUCGCUCUGAGAUGGCCUCGCGUCUGAUUAGCUGGUUGGCGGGGUAACGGCCCACCAAGGCGACGAUCAGUAGCCGGACUGAGAGGUUGACCGGCCACAUUGGGACUGAGACACGGCCCAG